Molecule: long non-coding RNA, 2552 nt
Filed under: Homo sapiens (human)
Lineage: Eukaryota; Metazoa; Chordata; Mammalia; Primates; Hominidae
Description: HSALNT0184174
Source: RNAcentral
GAAGCAGUCCAGAUCCUGGGAGGAAACCCAGAAGGGAGGUUAUGCCAGGGCCCUCACCCACCCCGGUCCUCCAGCCUGUCCCCCAGCUCUGGAAGGCAGCGUGGGAGCUUCACUGCAGGGAAGGAGGGCAUUUGGGAGAGGGAAGCUGGCCUGCCAGGAGGACCGGGCGGAGGGCCAUGGCUCCCUCCUCCACCUUCCUCACACGGGCAGAACUUACACUGUCCUCGCAGCUCUGUGUGCACGGCCCAUCCACAGUGCUGCACUGGAAGGAAGAGGAGAGACUGAAUGUGGACACUGCAUGUGUAGUAGAAAUGGCACGUGAUCUUCCCUGCUUUAUAAGGAGGCUCUUUUCCAGCUCAAAGCCAGGUUCGGGUUUGCCCAGGGCUGCAGCUGCAAGAUGAGUCACGGUUCUACUUCCCCUGGAAGGGCAGAAGUUGCAUAAGAUUGUUGAGGCUCAAGCGAGAUAAUGUGUGAGGCUGUUACUCCAGACUAGAGCCUUGAUUUUUAAACUUCAGCGUGCAUCAGAAUCGCCUGGAAGGAAAAGGCUAAAUGAAAGAGGAUCAUCAGAGCGAAUCACGCUACUGCUCAGAAUGACCAGCUCUUCGGGAUUGAAGAAAGCUUCCUUCAUCCUGUCCUUGGCCUCCGUGGUCAAAGAGCUUCAGGGGCCUUGCUGACCUCCUUCCUCUCCAUUUUGCUGUGCCCUCUCACUGUCCCUGAACUUGAGAUCCUGGAGGUUUAGCUGUGCUCUGGGUCCCUUGAAGACUUCGGAGGCAAUCCACUAAGAAAUGGGGAUUUAAGUGAGACAUGAAGAAGAACUUCCUUAUGGCAAGAACUAUAAGAUGUUGAAGACAAGACACAGUAUUGGGAGUAAAGGCGGUGAGGCACGGAAAUAUAUUUACCAACACCCAGGGAACCGAGUCUUCUCCCCCAGGAUCCCUGCUCUGCUCGUUCAGGUGAGUGGUUACUUGCGGGGAGGACUGCCCUUCCUCCCAUCAUCUCCUGCUAGCCAGCUGUGUGCAGGAGACAACACCUUAUGAUAUUAUGUUUGCAGACAAGCUCACACCUUUCGGUGAAGAGAAAUUCAGGCAAAGGGCCCGAGGGAAUGCAAAGCACUCGGCUUUUCCUGUUGCUUUCCUGGGAGUUAUCAGGAAAGCUUCCCUCAUGCCUGUGCAUGGUGGGCCCCUGUUUUAGACCCUGACCUUCGUCCCCAGGAGGGCCUGUCAUGACCUGAAAGAGGAGGACAAAUCUCAGACCCCUUCCUGCCCCAGCGGGCCUCCUGCCCCAGCUGACCUGGGUCCCUUCCCUCCCUCCUGUCCUCCCUCUCUGGGCUGUCCCUUGCCUUCCCUCUCUGCCCUGCCUCUCCACAUUGAUCUCGUGCCUUCCUCCCAAGCAGCUUUCCUGUAAGAUCGCAGCUCAGCUCCGCUGGCAGACAACCUAACAAAGAGCCUCAAUAAGGCCAGACCCGCAGGCGGCUUAUCAAGAUGUACGUCUUUGCUGUGCACACAGACUGUCACCUCGGUGCUGCUGUGUCAUCACAGAAGGCAAAACCAAACAACUGUGCAUGCACACACACAUACAUGCACACACAUGGACACACACAUAUAUGCACACACGGACACACAUGCAUGCACACACACUUGCACACACAUACCCAUGCACGCACACAUGGACACACAGGCAUACGCACACACUUGCACACACAUGCAUAUACACGUGCACCAUGCACAUGCACACAUACGUACACACACAUGCACAUACAUAGCAUGCACAUGAACAUAUGAGUUUGCACACUGUUGAGUGCUGUGGUCCCAGGAGUCAGAAGCUCCAGCUUUGCCCUCCUAGCCCUUUAUCUGCUUCUCUUUCCUCCUCCUCUGUCUUGAGAACCUAACCAGGAGACUGCGUGUUGCACGGGAUAGGGACUGUGGGGCAUGAGAGGGAUCAUCUUUUGUAACACAAGCUGAGGACCCGACAGGUGCACAGCGAAUACUUAGGUCACAGAAGGCCAGUGCCAGAAGGGAGACCAGAGAUCUCAACCCAUCUCCUCAUUCUGCAGGGCAGGAAUCCCAGCCAGCACAAGGCCCAGGGCUGCUGAGUGAACUCACUAGCUAGCUAGUCACUGAGCAACAGAGUCUGGAGUCUGGGUCCCCUGAUGCCCAGUCUUGAGCUCUUUCAUGUCCUCCAUUCCUCACUCAGUUGACACGAAGGCACUGGGGCCUGAAGGACACGGAACAGGUGAGGCCAGUCCCCCUGCUUGAACAGCUCUGUGUAGGAAAGGAGAUGACUCCCUCUCCCCUCUCCCCUCUCCCCACGGUCUCCCUCUCCCUCUCUUUCCCCGGUCUCCCUCUGAUGCCGAGCCGAAGCUGGACUGUACUGCUGCCAUCUCGGCUCACUGCAACCUCCCUGCCUGAUUCUCCUGCCUCAGCCUGCCAAGUGCCUGCGAUUGCAGGCGUGCGCCGCCACGCCUGACUGGUUUUCAUAUUUUUUUGGUGGAGACGGGGUUUCGCUGUGUUGGCCGGGCUGGUCUCCAGCUCCUAACCGCGAGUGAUCCGCCA